This 759-nucleotide non-coding RNA is filed under the name Planocera reticulata. Lineage: Eukaryota; Metazoa; Platyhelminthes; Polycladida; Planoceridae. The record is from RNAcentral.
UUUAUUUGGUUUUGGUUAAAUAAAGGGUUAGUGCAAAAACUAUCAUAAAUUGUUUUUAUUUGAUGUAUUUAGAGGAUAAAUUAAUUGGUUUUAGUGGUGGGUUUUUAAAUAAAAAUGAAAGUUUGUUUAAGUUUGUGCUUCUUUAGGGGCAAACAAUAGGUGCCAGCAGCUGCGGUUAUACCUAUUCUUUGCCUUUAUUUUUUGGGUAAAAUAUAAGUUUUGUUUUUAAAAAAAAUAUUUUUUUUCUGGUUAUAUAGUUAGAUUAAAUUUAUUCUAAAUUUAAAAGUAAAAAUUAUUAAAAUUAUUGUUAAAACCGAGAUUAGGUACCUUGUUAUUAAUGAUUGUAAAUUUUUUUACCCAGAGUAUUUUAAUUAAACUCAAAAAACCUGGCGGUGGAUAUUUCCUUCCAGAGGAGUGUGCUAAGUAAUAGAUAGUCCGCAGAUUAAUAAACUUUUAUUAUUAAAGUCAGUGUACGGCCGCUUUCAGAAAAAUUUUUUAGAAACUAAAAUUUUUCUUUAAUAUUAAAGAUCAAUUAAGACAGGUCAAUGUGCUGCUGAUAUAAAAGGUUGUGGUGCGCUAUUUUAACUUUUGGAAAAAGGAUAAUAAUCUUUAAUGGUUUUUAGAAUUAAGAUUUGGUAGUAAUUAGAAAAAAAUAUGUUUUUAUGAAUUUAGGUAAAUUCUGUGUACACAUCGCCCGUCGUUCUUUUCGAAAGAAAAGAGAAGUCGUAACAUGGUAGCUUUAAUAGAAAUUGAGGCUAU